RNAcentral lists this ribosomal RNA (449 nucleotides) under barley rhizosphere bacterium LJ97. RNAcentral's name for it is "bacterial SSU rRNA". It matches the Rfam family "Bacterial small subunit ribosomal RNA", at positions 23 to 468 of the family's 1533-position model. The record is from RNAcentral.
CUCAGAUUGAACGCUGGCGGCAUGCCUUACACAUGCAAGUCGAACGGCAGCGCGGGAGCAAUCCUGGCGGCGAGUGGCGAACGGGUGAGUAAUACAUCGGAACGUGCCCAAUCGUGGGGGAUAACGCAGCGAAAGCUGUGCUAAUACCGCAUACGAUCUACGGAUGAAAGCAGGGGAUCGCAAGACCUUGCGCGAAUGGAGCGGCCGAUGGCAGAUUAGGUAGUUGGUGAGGUAAAGGCUCACCAAGCCUUCGAUCUGUAGCUGGUCUGAGAGGACGACCAGCCACACUGGGACUGAGACACGGCCCAGACUCCUACGGGAGGCAGCAGUGGGGAAUUUUGGACAAUGGGCGAAAGCCUGAUCCAGCCAUGCCGCGUGCAGGAUGAAGGCCUUCGGGUUGUAAACUGCUUUUGUACGGAACGAAACGGCCUUUUCUAAUAAAGAGGGCU